AAGAACCACCAGACUGCAAAGGCGCUGCCAGCCAGAACCAGCUGCAACACCAUCACUCCCACCACUAUCCCAGCCACUUCUCCAACAGAGAGUCCUGCAGAGAACAUGGAGACAGAGGGACUCAUUUGGGAGAAAUAGAGAAGAGCAGCAGCCAUAAGUCAGAGGAAUAACAGAGUGGACCAGUAAGAUGCUGAGCCCUGCAUCUGCACAAACACAAAGAGCUGAAGAGGAGGACCAUACCUGAGACUCGCACAGAGACUGAGCCGAUGGUCCUGUUGGUCUCAGGAUCGGUCACCUUGUAGACUCCGGCAUCCUCCAGUGUCACACUCCUCAGCAAAAGGGUGUAGUUCUGGGCCAGAAGCUCACAUCUCUGAGCACAACGCUCCCCAUACCUGGCUGGGCCUUUAUUUGCAUCGAGCAUCAGCACCUCAUCUGAACCAAGGCCUGCACUGAAUGUUACCCUCACUGGGUCUGCGGUAUAGAGCGGUAUGGAGAGCAAACCACCGGCCUUCACUGUGAGGUUCUGGGGUGGGUGGCCUGU
Long non-coding RNA from Anguilla rostrata (American eel), 541 nucleotides. RefSeq lists it as uncharacterized. Lineage: Eukaryota; Metazoa; Chordata; Actinopteri; Anguilliformes; Anguillidae. The transcript has 2 exons. The record is from RefSeq and is a predicted model, not a curated record.